Molecule: long non-coding RNA, 625 nt
Organism: Stegodyphus dumicola
Lineage: Eukaryota; Metazoa; Arthropoda; Arachnida; Araneae; Eresidae
Source: RefSeq, a predicted model, not a curated record
AAACAUGUGCUUGGCUCAUCAAGUGAUGUGUUAGAAGGUUUUUGCUUGGCAUCUCACCCACCAGCUGUCAAAAAGCAUUAUGCUGUUCCUACUUUGCCAUCUAAUUUUAGACCUAUUCAUACUGUGCCACAGAUUACUCAGAGCCAUACUAUCACACAUGGUCAUACUUCUCGCCAUGCUUUAUCAGCUGAUGAGCGCUCAUUACUGCUUGGGGAAAAGAAAUUUCGUUCCUUUCAGUUAAAUGCAAGUCAAAAAACAGAAAAGAAUUUUGAAUCACAACAAAAAAUCUGUACACCGUUGACCCAAGAACAUAAAUCAUUGCCAUCAUUUCGACCUUUCCCCAGUGAUUUAUCAAAACAAGAGAGAUAUGAAGAAUAUUUGAAACUUAAAAGCACUGGAGAAAUUGAAAAGUUAAAACAACCUUCUUCAAUGAAUGACUGAAUGGGAAAAACAGCAGGAACUAGAAGAAUUUGCUAGAGCUGCCAUGCUUUUUAAACCUUCGUCAUCUGCAUUAUUAAGUUCAAAAUUUGAAUCAAAAUCACAUCUUAGCGUAGAGCAUGAAGUAAUGUCUGCUCUGAAAAAACUUAAGGUAUAAAAUCAAAUUCUUUUAAAAAUAUUAACUUCC